This 610-nucleotide long non-coding RNA is filed under the name Hordeum vulgare. RNAcentral's name for it is "long non-coding RNA (HVUL_LNC015271)". The record is from RNAcentral. Lineage: Eukaryota; Viridiplantae; Streptophyta; Magnoliopsida; Poales; Poaceae.
AAACCCGCGGCCAAACCCUUAUCCACUUUCCCCAUUCGCCUCUCCACUUUCCUCAAACGGCUCGCGACGAUGCCCGACGACGGCGACGACGCACGGGGGGCUCUCAUCGACGCCUCGCGACUUUGAGGGGAGACGACGCGGGGCGGCUACUGACGACGGCGACGACGCGUGGAGCGGCUCUCGUCGACGGCGACGAUGCGUGGAGCGGCUCUCGUCGACGGCGACAACUUCUUGCUCAAAAUCUUCCCCGGUCUUCUCUCAGUUGGUCUCUCAGCCUUCAUCUCUCGGUCAGGGUCAUGGCGUUAGGGUUAGGGUUUGGGUCAUGGCGUUAGGGUUAGGGUCAGGCUCAUGGCGUUAGGGUUAGGGUGGGCGUGCUAGUAUCUACGAGUAGUCUCGUAUCAGCUGACGUGCAACAAUCGGCGGCGGCGGCCGUCCCGAUAUGGUCGCGGAGGCUCUUCUCCUGAACAGCGUUCAGCAGGCACAGACAACCUUGUGAAGCUGUGGUUCUCACUUUAUCAAGGCAGUAGAGAGUUAGCCGGUGUGGUGUAAAACACUCUGAAACUAGUUUCGCGUAGUGAUUAGGUUCUCGCCUAGUGUAUGUAUUGUUCAU